Molecule: ribosomal RNA, 253 nt
Filed under: uncultured bacterium
Lineage: Bacteria
Description: partial 16S ribosomal RNA
Rfam family: Bacterial small subunit ribosomal RNA
Source: RNAcentral
UACGUAGGGUGCAAGCGUUAAUCGGAAUUACUGGGCGUAAAGCGCGCGUAGGCGGAUCUGCAAGUCGGGGGUGAAAUCCCGAGGCUCAACCUCGGAACUGCCUUCGAUACUGCGGGUCUCGAGUCCGGGAGAGGUGAGUGGAAUUCCUAGUGUAGAGGUGAAAUUCGUAGAUAUUAGGAAGAACACCAGUGGCGAAGGCGGCUCACUGGCCCGGUACUGACGCUGAGGCGCGAAAGCGUGGGGAGCAAACAGG